Molecule: ribosomal RNA, 426 nt
Filed under: uncultured bacterium
Lineage: Bacteria
Description: bacterial SSU rRNA
Rfam family: Bacterial small subunit ribosomal RNA
Source: RNAcentral
UGGGGAAUUUUGGACAAUGGGCGCAAGCCUGAUCCAGCAAUGCCGCGUGCAGGAUGAAGGCCUUCGGGUUGUAAACUGCUUUUGUACGGAACGAAACGGCUCUGUCUAAUACAUGGGGCUAAUGACGGUACCGUAAGAAUAAGCACCGGCUAGCUACGUGCCAGCAGCCGCGGUAAUACGUAGGGUGCAAGCGUUAAUCGGAAUUACUGGGCGUAAAGCGUGCGCAGGCGGUUAUGCAAGACAGAUGUGAAAUCCCCGGGCUCAACCUGGGAACUGCAUUUGUGACUGCAUAGCUGGAGUGCGGCAGAGGGAGAUGGAAUUCCGCGUGUAGCAGUGAAAUUCGUAGAUAUGCGAAGGAACACCGAUGGCAAAGGCAAUCCCUGGGACUGUACUGACGCUCAUGCACGAAAGCGUGGGGAGCAAGCA